UAGCUCAGCUGAUCAGAGCGCGGCACUGUUAAUCCUGAGGUUGUCAGUCCGAUUCCGGCCA
RNAcentral lists this transfer RNA (61 nucleotides) under Geminigera cryophila. Lineage: Eukaryota; Cryptophyceae; Pyrenomonadales; Geminigeraceae. The record is from RNAcentral.